GUGGAGGGGUAAUAGAUAUAUACAGGGAGAACCAGAUCAAUGUGGAGGGGUAAUAGAUAUAUACAGGGAGUACCAGAUCAAUGUGGAGGGGUAAUAGAUGUAUACAGGGAGAACCAGUACCAGAUCAAUGUGUAGGGGUAAUAGAUAUAUACAGGGAGAACCAGAUCAAUGUGGAGGGGUAAUAGAUAUAUACAGGGAGUACCAGAUCAAUGUGGAGGGGUAAUAGAUAUAUACAGGGAGUACCAGAUCAAUGUGGAGGGGUAAUAGAUAUAUACAGGGAGUACCAGUAGCAGAUCAAUGUGUAGGGGUACUAGAUAUAUACAGGGAGAACCAGAUCAAUAUCAAUGUGGAGGGGUAAUAGAUAUAUACAGGGAGUACCAGUACCAGAUCAAUGUGUAGGGGUAAUAGAUAUAUACAGGGAGAACCAGAUCAAUGUGGAGGGGUAAUAGAUAUAUACAGGGAGUACCAGAUCAAUAUCAAUGUGUAGGGGUAAUAGAUAUAUACAGGGAGUACCAGAUCAAUGUGUAGGGGUAAUAGAUAUAUACAGGGAGAACCAGAUCAAUGUGUAGGGGUAAUAGAUAUAUACAGGGAGUACCAGAUGAAUGUGGAGGGGUAAUAGAAAGUAUUGAGACUUUAUUCUAAAAUUGAUUAAAUUGUUUUUUUGUCCUCAU
Molecule: long non-coding RNA, 671 nt
Filed under: Salmo salar (Atlantic salmon)
Lineage: Eukaryota; Metazoa; Chordata; Actinopteri; Salmoniformes; Salmonidae
Description: lncRNA (ENSSSAG00000104721.1)
Source: RNAcentral